UUUCUGUUGAUGAUUUCACGCACUUUGCCAAAGCUCUUUAUUUUGGUGCAGCCCCAAUAGUUUGUUUGCUUUCGUUUCUCUUGACUGAGGAGACAUAUCUAGAAAAAUGUUGCUAAAGCUGAUGUCCCAGAGUUAUUGCCUGUGUUUCUUCUAGGAUGUUUCUAGUUUCA
Long non-coding RNA from Mustela erminea (ermine), 170 nucleotides. RefSeq lists it as uncharacterized. The record is from RefSeq and is a predicted model, not a curated record. The transcript is spliced from 3 exons. NCBI's taxonomy places the organism in Eukaryota, Metazoa, Chordata, Mammalia, Carnivora, Mustelidae.